This is a non-coding RNA of Araneus ventricosus, 74 nucleotides long. NCBI's taxonomy places the organism in Eukaryota, Metazoa, Arthropoda, Arachnida, Araneae, Araneidae. The record is from the annotation of a GenBank genome assembly.
AAUUUUAAGCUCAGUGGUUGAGCACCUGGUCUUGUAAACCAUGAGGUCAGUGAGUUCAAUCCUCACUGGGGCUU